GAGCUUUUAGUUUAUUUUAGAAUAACUUGUUUACAACAAGUGGGACUCUGCUUU
RNAcentral lists this transfer RNA (54 nucleotides) under Rhigonema thysanophora. Its description in RNAcentral is "tRNA-Val". The record is from RNAcentral. Lineage: Eukaryota; Metazoa; Nematoda; Chromadorea; Rhabditida; Rhigonematidae.